This 300-nucleotide ribosomal RNA is filed under the name uncultured Acidocella sp. Its description in RNAcentral is "bacterial SSU rRNA". It matches the Rfam family "Bacterial small subunit ribosomal RNA", at positions 114 to 429 of the family's 1533-position model. The record is from RNAcentral. Lineage: Bacteria; Pseudomonadati; Pseudomonadota; Alphaproteobacteria; Acetobacterales; Acidocellaceae.
CGCGUAGGAAUCUAUCCAUUGGUGGGGGACAACAGUGGGAAACUACUGCUAAUACCGCAUGAUACCUGAGGGUCAAAGGCGCAAGUCGCCUGUGGAGGAGCCUGCGUCUGAUUAGCUUGUUGGUGGGGUAAAGGCUUACCAAGGCGACGAUCAGUAGCUGGUCUGAGAGGAUGAUCAGCCACAUUGGGACUGAGACACGGCCCAAACUCCUACGGGAGGCAGCAGUGGGGAAUAUUGGACAAUGGGCGAAAGCCUGAUCCAGCAAUGCCGCGUGGGUGAAGAAGGUCUUCGGAUUGUAAA